RNAcentral lists this ribosomal RNA (253 nucleotides) under uncultured bacterium. RNAcentral's name for it is "partial 16S ribosomal RNA". It matches the Rfam family "Bacterial small subunit ribosomal RNA", at positions 524 to 776 of the family's 1533-position model. The record is from RNAcentral.
UACGUAGGCAGCAAGCGUUGUUCGGAUUCAUUGGGCGUAAAGGGUGCGUAGGCGGCGCGGUAAGUCGGGUGUGAAAUCUCGGAGCUUAACUCCGAAACUGCAUUCGAUACUGCCGUGCUUGAGGACUGGAGAGGAGACUGGAAUUUACGGUGUAGCGGUGAAAUGCGUAGAUAUCGUAAGGAAGACCAGUGGCGAAGGCGGGUCUCUGGACAGUUCCUGACGCUGAGGCACGAAGGCCAGGGGAGCAAACGGG